Molecule: ribosomal RNA, 799 nt
Filed under: uncultured bacterium
Lineage: Bacteria
Description: bacterial SSU rRNA
Rfam family: Bacterial small subunit ribosomal RNA
Source: RNAcentral
GAACGAGGUGCUUUUUGUAGCAAUACGAGAAGUAUCCUAGUGGCGAACGGGUGAGUAACGCGUUGGUGACCUACCCCAAAGUGUGGGAUAACAGUUCGAAAGAACUGCUAAUACCGCAUGUGGUUAUCGGGUUUAGAAACCGAUAACUAAAGGAGCAAUUCGCUUUGGGAGGGACCUGCGUCCCAUCAGCUAGUUGGUGAGGUAACGGCUCACCAAGGCGACGACGGGUAGGGGACCUGAGAGGGUGACCCCCCACAAUGGAACUGAAACACGGUCCAUACACCUACGGGUGGCAGCAGUAGGGAAUAUUGCUCAAUGGGCGAAAGCCUGAAGCAGCAACGCCGCGUGCGCGAUGAAGGUCUUCGGAUCGUAAAGCGCUUUUAUGAGGGAUGAGAACGGACAGUACCUCAGGAAUAAGUCUCGGCUAACUACGUGCCAGCAGCCGCGGUAAAACGCAGGAGGCAAGCGUUAUCCGGAUUCACUGGGCGUAAAGCGCGUGCAGGCGGUUCGGUAAGUUGGGCGUGAAAUCUCCUGGCUUAACUAGGAGAGGUCGUCCAAUACUACCGGGCUAGAGAGUGGUAGAGGAAAAUGGAAUUCCCGGUGUAGUGGUGAAAUGCGUAGAUAUCAGGAGGAACACCAGUGGCGAAAGCGAUUUUCUGGACCAUUUCUGACGCUCAGACGCGAAAGCUAGGGUAGUAAACGGGAUUAGAGACCCCGGUAAUCCUAGCCGUACACGAUGUAACUUGGCGUUGGUGGCUUAAACACCAUCAGUGCCGCAGCUAACGCGAUAAGUUUACCG